CUCCUACCCAUCGGCCCCUCACCCAAGAAAGAGAAAACUUCAUCUUUCUCUCCAAGAAAGCCAUAGUCGACCUUCAUCUCUUUCCUUCCUCUUUUCUUUUCAUCUUCAAGAAACCAAGUUCCUCUCAUCUCCUUCAAGCCGUGCCACUCCAUAGCAAGGGAAGAAAACAUCUUCCUCCAUCUCCAAGCCAUGUGUACCUCAUCUCUACCCAUUUUCGGUUUUGACUCAAAGCUUGGAACCAAAGCUUGAUUUCAUCUUCCAAAUGGUCAAAUAUUGAAGUGCCAUCAUUUCAUUCAUCAUCUACAUGGGUUUACCACUAUUUGGUCCUCUAUCUUGCCUCUUGAAAGAAGCUAAGAGCUUCAGGACCUAUAUUGACUUUGGAAGUAUCGGGGAGCAUAGAGGUAA
This is a long non-coding RNA of Juglans regia (Persian walnut), 405 nucleotides long. RefSeq lists it as uncharacterized. The transcript has 3 exons. NCBI's taxonomy places the organism in Eukaryota, Viridiplantae, Streptophyta, Magnoliopsida, Fagales, Juglandaceae. The record is from RefSeq and is a predicted model, not a curated record.